This 425-nucleotide ribosomal RNA is filed under the name uncultured Haliscomenobacter sp. RNAcentral describes it as "bacterial SSU rRNA". It matches the Rfam family "Bacterial small subunit ribosomal RNA", at positions 355 to 777 of the family's 1533-position model. The record is from RNAcentral. Lineage: Bacteria; Pseudomonadati; Bacteroidota; Saprospiria; Saprospirales; Haliscomenobacteraceae.
UAAGGAAUAUUGGGCAAUGGAGGCAACUCUGACCCAGCCAUCCCGCGUGAAGGAUUAAGGCCCUAUGGGUUGUAAACUUCUUUUGCUUGGGAAGAAAUCAGGACAUUUAUGUGCUGUUGACGGUACCUUGCGAAUAAGCACCGGCUAACUCCGUGCCAGCAGCCGCGGUAAUACGGAGGGUGCAAGCGUUAUCCGGAAUCACUGGGUUUAAAGGGUGCGUAGGCGGUUUGAUAAGUCAGAGGUGAAAGCUAGCAGCUUAACUGUUAAAUUGCGUUUGAGACUGGCAGACUUGAAUCAAGUUGAGGUAGGCGGAAUGUGACAUGUAGCGGUGAAAUGCAUAGAUAUGUCAUAGAACACCAAUUGCGUAGGCAGCUUGCUGGGCUUGAAUUGACGCUGAGGCACGAAAGCGUGGGGAUCAAACAGGA